GGACAGGGAAACGAACCCUAGAGACACUCGCAAUGAUGUCUGCCUGUUCUCUUUCCCAGGCCUAUUUUGAGGAGCAAAAAACUGAAUGUGCAAGAAGGCUCUUUGUAGAUGUCUGUAAAUUUGCCUGGGAACAGAGCCUGGAAGGCAGUGUUCCCGGGACUAGGGCGACCCCGGGCUACACGCCACCUCGAACUCCCCAACACUCGGAGAAGCGGCGCCGCGACCAGGAUCAAGUAGGAAGUGCAGGACCAAGCGCCUGAAAUACGGAAGUGGCCCGAGACAACAUGGCGGCGCCGGCGUCAAGUGCCCUAACCCGGGGCCGGCGGCCAGGUCACUGAUGUGGGCUGAGCUCAGCUGGGCGUGUCUCCAAGCUGAAGAUCGGGUCCCCAUCUUCUCCAGCUGUCUCUCACCCUCCUUGAACCAGUAUCUUUAGGCUGUUUUCUCAACUGUAAACAUGGAUCGUGACUGGCAAGGAAUGUGCCUUGUUAGUCUCAAGAUGGAGCUGAACUGAAAAUGGUGUCACUCUAGCCCUCCUAGGUCCCUGCUUCCCUAACAAUGGCAGAAGCAGGAAAACAAAUUCAACUAUACAAAGACAUUCUAAACCUUUGCUUGCAUCACACCUACCAAUAUCCUAUAGUCCUUCUGUAUAGGAGAGGGGAAUGUGAAAGGAAAAUACCUUGGACCCCCAAAAUCACUAAGGAAAACUCAGCUGGAAACUGCUUAAGGCAAACCUGCCUCUCAUUCUAUGAAGUUAUCCCUCUGCUCACUAAGAGAUGCAAAUCUGAUUUGCCUCCUUUGAAAGGGCCAAUCAGAAACUCAAAAGAAUGCAACCAUUUGUGUCUCACCUAUCUGUGACCUGGAAACCCAGUCCCCGCUUGGAGUCUUCCUGCCUUUGCUUCAAGUUGUCCCGCCUUUCCAGACCUCACCAAUGUACUGCUUAUAUCUAUGAUUGAUGUCUUGCAUCUCGGUAAAAUGUACAAAACCAAACUGUGCCCCGACCACCUUGGGCACAUGUCAUCAGGACUUCCUGAGGGUGUCACGGGGGCAAAAUAAACUUUCUAAAUCAACUGA
Molecule: long non-coding RNA, 1071 nt
Organism: Callithrix jacchus (white-tufted-ear marmoset)
Lineage: Eukaryota; Metazoa; Chordata; Mammalia; Primates; Cebidae
Source: RefSeq, a predicted model, not a curated record